GGAAUCUUCCACAAUGGACGAAAGUCUGAUGGAGCAACGCCGCGUGAGUGAUGAAGGUUUUCGGAUCGUAAAACUCUGUUGUAAGGGAAGAACAAGUACGUUAGGAAAUGAACGUACCUGGACGGUACCUUAUUAGAAAGCCACGGCUAACUACGUGCCAGCAGCCGCGGUAAUACGUAGGUGGCAAGCGUUGUCCGGAUUUAUUGGGCGUAAAGCGCGCGCAGGUGGUUUCUUAAGUCUGAUGUGAAAGCCCACGGCUCAACCGUGGAGGGUCAUUGGAAACUGGGGAACUUGAGUGCAGAAGAGGAUAGUGGAAUUCCAAGUGUAGCGGUGAAAUGCGUAGAGAUUUGGAGGAACACCAGUGGCGAAGGCGACUGUCUGGUCUGUAACUGACACUGAGGCGCGAAAGCGUGGGGAGCAAA
RNAcentral lists this ribosomal RNA (422 nucleotides) under uncultured bacterium. RNAcentral's name for it is "bacterial SSU rRNA". It matches the Rfam family "Bacterial small subunit ribosomal RNA", at positions 358 to 772 of the family's 1533-position model. The record is from RNAcentral.